AUUAUUAAUCAACAUCGGAAAGAUAAUAAUUGUCGCAAAGAUGGAAGGCCUAACGAUCGUUUUAGUGGCUGCGAAUGAUCGAGUCGAUGAGACGAUACGCCUGUUUCUCGGGUCAAUCGUGUACUUGAAAAUCGGAACAGAAUUUCAGAUCGCAAUCUUCACAGGUUAUAAUAACGGUGCUAUCUGGACAUCAUCCCGUUCCAAUGAUCCGCAUUCCGGGCAAUGUCGUGUUCGGAAGAUUGCUUACUCCGCUGUUUAAUACGUACGUUCGAGGUCUGUCGAUCGGUUCUCAAAGUGGAAUCGCCGCCAUUCUCGCGAUGGAUUCCCUGGAUGCCAGUAGUCGGCCGAUCGGUCGGCCCUCCGGUGAUUUGGAGAAAAGAGGCGGAGAAGAGGGUGGAGGGUGGAGAGGCCUUUUUUUCCCGCGGAGCUGAGGAUGAAGAUUGUUGGUUUUGCUAUACCGGUACCGCAGUGGUGAAUGCCCCACGGCGGCAAAAGGCGGUUGCUGCUUUCUGAGAACGGGUCGGAGUUGGCCGCACCGGGAGCGGUGAUUGCGUGGUGAUUAGCCUCCACCUUCGCCUCUCUUUGGACCGACUCGAACGAGGGAGAAAGGAGUAAAAGAGAAAGACAAGCAAACAGAGAGUCCACGUACUGUCCAGCCGGAAAGAGAGGCAGGCAGAUCGUGUUGAAAGAAGGAACGCAAUAUCAUUGCCAGGCACGAAUGUGGGAGCGAGUUGCUCGAUACAAAGCGUUCGAGAGUAUUUCGCGUACGAGUCUGUAAAGUAACGCGACGGGACCUGGAAGAUAAGUAUGUGCUCCGUCACACGUACGCGUCACCGGGAAUCGCGUGUGCGAGGCGAACGCGUCGCAGCAGACAUUAAUAAAUUUUCAGAGAUACGAUACGUGUAACGUCAGAUCGAAUGGACAAUCGAAUUAUUGGCAAGCGCGUAUAUGCCGAAGCAUGUCAAUACAUUUCGUUAGUGCGGUGUCAUUCAAAAUGGGUGGAAGCUAGCUCUUUGGCGUCUGGAUGUUUCGCAGCAGGCAAGCCGGCCGGUAGACAGGUACCUACCUGGAAACGAGUAACUACUUAUUGUCACCUCUAACGAGGCCGCAACAAAAACUCAGCUAUUCGCAGGUGGGAAUGCUGCCAGCUUAUGAAAGUAUCAAUUACCUUCUACGUCCAGUUUCCUAAUGAGGGGAACAGAGCCAUGGAUUACCGAGUCGCCAUAACUGUGACUCCUAGAUCCGUUGCGAUUUUUUCAUAGAUCAACAUGGACAGCGUUCGCCAAUCAGCUGUUUACAUUCACAGAGUCUAUAUUUCUUCUCAACCAAUCGUGGCGAGCCUGUUACACAAGAUUGUUAUUACGUAUUAUAUUCGCCUUUAAAUGAAAUCGAACUGUAUGUACUUUCAUGUUAUAUAUGUCGGCAACAUGUGUACGUAAUAAAAUAAGUAGACAUUUCAGAAUUAUAGUUAUGCAUGAGAUUUAUACGUAGACAAAAAGGCGUGGUUUUCGUUUCGUGUAUUUUCGAUUAUAAAAAGUCAUAUAAUUUCUGAAAGUCUUAUACUUGAAAGUCUAUCGUUUAAACGAUUCGUCUAUUGUUAGUGUCUGCUGUUACUUCGUAUUUUUGUUAUAACCUUUUAACAAAGCGCAUAAGUUUAUGUUCAUAUGACAUUUUUUGUUAUUUUUAUUCAAAGAGCGUGCUGAUACUACUUUACGGAAGAAACCCAGUACAUCCUGUAGGUCUAAUAUUAUAUCGUAUGUCAUGGCAUUGCCAGGAAGAAUAGGACAAAUCAAUUCAAUAACAUAAAUAGCGUUUUUACUGAACAAAUAAAAUAUGGAAUUAAAUCUGCACUUUAUCGUAUUUACGACUUUAUUUUCUAAUUAUUGUCAUUAAAUAAAAUAUACUAUUAAACAAUACAACAUUUUAAAAAUUAGAUUUCGACACUAUAGACGCGUUCAAUGGAGAAAAAAUAUUUCAACUUUUAAUAAAUAUUAAAACUAAAAGUAUAGAAUGUUUUAAACUAACAUUUACUAUCUAUUAAUAGUAACGUAUGUAGC
Molecule: long non-coding RNA, 2057 nt
Organism: Bombus terrestris (buff-tailed bumblebee)
Lineage: Eukaryota; Metazoa; Arthropoda; Insecta; Hymenoptera; Apidae
Exons: 3
Source: RefSeq, a predicted model, not a curated record